AGACGGGUGAGUAACACGUGGGCAACCUACCCUUGAACGGGGAACAACCUCGAGAAAUCGGGGCUAAUACCGCAUGAUAUUCCGUUUCAUAAGGAACGGGAUUAAAGGUCUUGUAAGAGACUGUUUGAGGAUGGGCCCGCGACCUAUUAGCUUGUUGGUAGGGUAACGGCCUACCAAGGCGACGAUGGGUAGCCGGCCUGAGAGGGUGAACGGCCACACUGGGAUUGAGAUACGGCCCAGACUCCUACGGGAGGCAGCAGUGGGGAAUUUUGGACAAUGGGGGAAACCCUGAUCCAGCGACGCCGCGUGAGGGAUGAAGGCCUUCGGGUUGUAAACCUCUGUCAGAGAGGACGAAUUAGCUCCGAUUCUGUCGGAGCAGGACGGUACUCUCAGAGGAAGCCACGGCUAACUCCGUGCCAGCAGCCGCGGUAAUACGGAGGUGGCGAGCGUUAUCCGGAUUCAUUGGGCGUAAAGGGCGCGUAGGUGUCUCCAUAAGUCGGAUGUGAAAUCCUUCUGCUCAACAGAAGAAUGGCAUUCGAAACUGUGGAGAUUGAGUACAGAAGAGGAGAGUGGAAUUCCUGGUGUAGCGGUGAAAUGCGUAGAUAUCAGGAGGAACACCGGUGGCGAAGGCGACUCUCUGGUCUGAUACUGACACUGAGGCGCGAAAGCUAGGGGAGCAAACAGGAUUAGAUACCCUGGUAGUCCUAGCCAUAAACGAUGCUCACUAGGUGUGGGAGGUAUCAAUUCCUUCUGUGCCGCAGCUAACGCAUUAAGUGAGCCGCCUGGGGAGUACGACCGCAAGGUUGAAACUCAAAGGAAUUGACGGGGGCCCGCACAAGCGGUGGAGCAUGUGGUUCAAUUCGACGCUACACGAGAAACCUUACCGGGAUUUGACAUGUACUUGCAAUCCGUCUGAAAGGACGGACCUCCUUCGGGACAAGUACACAGGUGGUGCAUGG
Molecule: ribosomal RNA, 959 nt
Filed under: uncultured bacterium
Lineage: Bacteria
Description: bacterial SSU rRNA
Rfam family: Bacterial small subunit ribosomal RNA
Source: RNAcentral